This 439-nucleotide ribosomal RNA is filed under the name uncultured soil bacterium. RNAcentral describes it as "bacterial SSU rRNA". It matches the Rfam family "Bacterial small subunit ribosomal RNA", at positions 26 to 518 of the family's 1533-position model. The record is from RNAcentral.
AGAACGAACGCUGGCGGCAUGCCUAAUACAUACAAGUCGAACGAACUCUUCGGAGUUAGUGGCGCACGGGUGCGUAACGCGUGGGAAUCUGCCCCUUGGUUCGGAAUAACAGUUGGAAACGACUGCUAAUACCGGAUGAUGACGAAAGUCCAAAGAUUUAUCGCCAAGGGAUGAGCCCGCGUAGGAUUAGCUAGUUGGUGAGGUAAAGGCUCACCAAGGCGACGAUCCUUAGCUGGUCUGAGAGGAUGAUCAGCCACACUGGGACUGAGACACGGCCCAGACUCCUACGGGAGGCAGCAGUAGGGAAUAUUGGACAAUGGGCGAAAGCCUGAUCCAGCAAUGCCGCGUGAGUGAUGAAGGCCUUAGGUUGUAAGCUCUUUACCGAGAUGAUAUGACAGUAUCGGAGAAUAAGCCCCGCUAACUCCGUGCCAGCAGCCGC